UUGACCUCAAAUCAGGUAGGACUACCCGCUGAACUUAAGCAUGUCAAUAAGCGGAGGA
This 58-nucleotide ribosomal RNA is filed under the name Amanita sp. EMD 5-2010. RNAcentral describes it as "partial 26S ribosomal RNA". It matches the Rfam family "Eukaryotic large subunit ribosomal RNA", at positions 1 to 57 of the family's 3401-position model. RNAcentral also lists the same sequence under 1 other name. Lineage: Eukaryota; Fungi; Basidiomycota; Agaricomycetes; Agaricales; Amanitaceae. The record is from RNAcentral.